Molecule: long non-coding RNA, 1715 nt
Organism: Monomorium pharaonis (pharaoh ant)
Lineage: Eukaryota; Metazoa; Arthropoda; Insecta; Hymenoptera; Formicidae
Exons: 4
Source: RefSeq, a predicted model, not a curated record
UAACACUGUCGCGCGUUAAGAGUACGCAAAGGUGUACACCGUGUACGAUCGUACAGCGCUCGUCAAUAUGAAAAGUGUCAUAUUGUAAGGGUGACGUCCCAUGGCGCGUAUUGCGAUACGCGCGUAUCGGGCGUAUCGAACUCUGCAACCAAUCACAGACAUUCCGCUGCUUUCAGUACGCCGAAAUAUGUCUCUUAUGUCCCAUGAAGCGGAUUACGCGGAAGCGGAACGAGCGGAUCACCAAUCAUGGGACUGUUUCAACGGAAUUUUUGAAAAGGUUCUAUUAGAACGAUCCCGUGAUUAGUGAUCCGCUGAUUCUGCUUCCGCGUAAUCCGCUCCAUGGGACAUAAGAGCCACAUUUCGGCGUAUCGAACAUACACACACACAAGCAUGCGUGGCCAUUUCUAACCUUUUCGUGCCCAUAAGAAGUACACAAAAAGUGACAAGAAGGAGUACCACGCGUAGUACUCAUAAAUCUGAAGAGGUUAUAGUAAAAAGAAGUAAAUUAUAUACACCGCCCAGUGCACACGCCAUGUAACAUUAUACGACUGUGCAUAUAUAUGUGUGCGAUCCGCUCGAUUAUGAAUUUCCGCGGAUCGUCAACGUAUCAAAAACGGCGGAUCGUCUGUCAUUGGUCGAAAUUUAAUACGCCCGAUACGCGCGUAUCGCAAUACGCGCCAUGGGACGUCACCCUAAAAGCGUAUCAAAGAUAAAUAAUAGGGCCCUAUUCUUGAAAUAGUUGCGCAUACAUAAAUAGCAAGUUGCGAAUGAUCGCAAUGGAAAAUCCCUAGAACGGUAUUCUUGACUGUCGCAAGCAGUAACGUAUACGCAAUUUUUCGUGUACGAUGCAACGAAUAGUUCAGACCAUUCGUUUCAUGAGAAACGUAUACGUUUCGAUGAUGAAAAGCAAUAGUAAAAGCCUCCGCGUACCAUUACAUAUUAGUCAGCCAACAGUCUCCCGCUGCAUCCACAAAAUUAUUAAUGUUGUAACAAGAGAAGAAAUAAUGAAACAGGAUUAAGUUUCCCAGUACGUUAGCAGAAUUGAACACGUUAUCCUGGAAGCACUCGCAAUACAUUUAUAUGGAAUAACUCAUAUGCAAAAAACGUGCUAUGGUUUAUCUCUAAAGGCGCUAUCCACACAAAAAUUUCCUUUUAGUAGGUGAUUCAAGGUAUUCUUUCAGGCCUUGGAUGAUGACUCCUAUAAUAGGUGCUAUUAAAGGUAGUCCAGAAGCUGAAUAUAAUACCAAACAAAUGAGAUGUCGUGCAUUAAUAGAAUAAUGCAAUGGAGUUCUGAAAAUGCGGUUUGUGUCUAUUGAAGUAUAGAAUACUCCAUUACUCUCCACCAAUAGCAUCUAAAAUUAUAUAUACAUGUGCUGUUUUACAUAAUAUGUACAUUACCCAAAAUGUGUCACUAAAUCUAAAUGACGAUAAUGAAGAUGUAGAUUUUGGGAUGUAUAAUAACAAAAAUCGUAUUGAAAAUGAAAGAAACGUCCGUAGAAUUGAUCUAAAUAUGGCAGCUGGUAGAAAUAAACAGCAACUAAUGAUUGCAAAUUACUUCUCGUAAAUUAUAAGUAUCGUUUAUCAUUUAGUAUAGUUUUUAUCAAUAGUGGAUUCAUAUUAAUUAGGAAUAUAUCAUAUUUUAAGUCAAAAAUUUUUCUUUAUUCUUACAAUGUAUAUGAAUACAAAUAAAACAUAUAUAAUAUAUAAAAGAAUUA